This 586-nucleotide ribosomal RNA is filed under the name uncultured fungus. Its description in RNAcentral is "eukaryotic LSU rRNA". The stretch from base 188 to 342 matches the Rfam family "5.8S ribosomal RNA". Lineage: Eukaryota; Fungi. The record is from RNAcentral.
ACCUGCGGAAGGAUCAUUAUUGAAUACACAAGGACUGUCGCUGGCUAGGUUCAUUCUUGGCAUGUGCACGUCUACCACACUUUCCACACUUGUGCACCAAUUGUAGAUAACCCUCGAAAGAGGAUUCUAUGUCUUUUAUAAUCUCAUCUAAUGUAUGUCCUUAGAAUGUAACAAAAAAAUAUUAUACAACUUUCAGCAACGGAUCUCUUGGUUCUCGCAUCGAUGAAGAACGCAGCGAAUUGCGAUAAGUAAUGUGAAUUGCAGAUUUUCAGUGAAUCAUCGAAUCUUUGAACGCACCUUGCGCUCCUUGGUAUUCCGAGGAGCAUGCCUGUUUGAGUGUCAUUAAAUUAUCAACCAUAGUCUUUAUUGGCUUUUGGCUUGGACUUGGGAUUUGCUGGCCUAGUCAGCUGUCCUUAAAAGCAUUAGCAAGUGAAGUAGACGGUGCACGGCCUCUGACGUGAUAAUGAUCGUCGUGGGCUGGAAGCGUCAUAAUGAAGCUUGCUUUAAUUUUGAAUUUGAAUUUGAAAUUCUAUUACCAUUUUGACCUCAAAUCAGGUAGGACUACCCGCUGAACUUAAGCAUAUCA